UACAGAGGGUGCGAGCGUUAAUCGGAAUUACUGGGCGUAAAGCGCGCGUAGGCGGUUUGUUAAGUCGGAUGUGAAAUCCCAGGGCUCAACCUUGGAAUUGCACCCGAUACUGGCAGGCUAGAGUACGGUAGAGGGGUGUGGAAUUUCCUGUGUAGCGGUGAAAUGCGUAGAUAUAGGAAGGAACAUCAGUGGCGAAGGCGACACCCUGGACCGAUACUGACGCUGAGGUGCGAAAGCGUGGGGAGCAAACAGG
RNAcentral lists this unclassified non-coding RNA (253 nucleotides) under uncultured Oceanospirillales bacterium. RNAcentral describes it as "contains 16S-23S intergenic spacer region". It matches the Rfam family "Bacterial small subunit ribosomal RNA", at positions 524 to 776 of the family's 1533-position model. The record is from RNAcentral. Lineage: Bacteria; Pseudomonadati; Pseudomonadota; Gammaproteobacteria; Oceanospirillales.